GCCAGGAGAAAUGUCCAGCUCAAGUGUGAUCACGAGCUCGGAGACGCAUACUGAGUGAGCACCUGCUGCGGCGUGUCUAUCAGUUUGCCAGACUCACAUGCCUCAAGUCAACCUAGGAUGCUGAUAUUGCAGGCCCUUCCUGCCUCCCGUAGGUGCAUGUGGCCAAAGAGAACAGCGCUCUUUGCUGGCGUGAAGAUGUUGGGGUCCAGGACAUGCCUGUGGACAGCAAGCAGCUGGCUCCCCGGAGCUCUCAGAGAGGACUGUUUCUGCCAGCAUGACCUCUGCCCAAGAGUAGUCGGGGCCGGGAGAGAACCAAGGCAAGACAGAAGACUGCUUCAGGCUAGAUGGCUCUGCUUGACUUUCUGGGCUUACGCUGCAAAGCUGAACUGUGGUGGGGUACCUGGGAUCCAUGCUCAUCUCCUGGAUCAGAGGCACAGCGGUGCCCACUGACCAUACAGAAUCCUGCCCGCGCCUCCUGCCUCACACCUGACCGGCCAUUCUGCCCUCUGAGCACACCUGCUUUUUCUGAGCACAUACUGCUGUCCCUCGGAUAGAGAAAGCUCUUCCCAGCACCCAGAACUACCUUUCACCUCCAGGACCUGGUUUGACGCUCCCUGUGUGUCCUCGGACCUCAGCCAGGGCUUUGUCUCUUCCAGGGGCCCUCAAGCCCAGCUAGGUGCUGCUGCUGCUGCUGCUGCUGCUGCUGCUGCUGCUGCUGCUGCUGCUGCCGAGAAAGAAAGCCCUCACCAGACUCCCACACACCCCUGAGUCCCUGGCUUUUAGAGCUAUGAGCGUUGAGCCGCUUCAGUCCUGCUUGUGAAAGACCAAAUCUCGGGAACGGUGCUGUAAGGACACGGAACAGAGGGGCCCAGAGGAACUCCUGACUAGCCGUCUGAAGAAUGGCAGCUGCCCUGUGUUCCACGCGCACCGCCCCUUACCGUCAUCAUUUUCUCCCAGCAGCCAUCCCUACGGUUAUGAAGUGGCGCCUGACUGUAGAUUUAGAAGGCAGUGCCCUGUCUUUCCUGCCCCCACCCCAGCUCAGACUGUGUUGACCUUACUCUCCUGCUCCCCCACCCCCUGCCCAAGUCUGUGCUCUUGCGGCCCUUGCAGCUGAACUUGGCUGGAGAAACCCCCACCUGCACCUGCUGUUCCAACCUCCCCCCCCCCAAACUCUGGCAUCCCAUCCUAGAUGCCCUUUCUGUGAGUGCCCCUAGCAGGAUCCCUCUCCAGGCAUUGCUUCCCCACCAGGGUUCCAAACCCAUUGUCUCUCCUGUCGACAGGUCUCCAUAGACCACCAGCCGUGGGACUCCAGACAGAGCAAGCUCCUCACAGAGUGGGAGUCAGGCUAGCUUCUAUACUGCAUUCUAUGGCCAGCACACAGUUCCUGGACCCUCCCUCCUGGCCCUCCUCCCUUGGUGGACCUAAGACUCCAGUCUGGACCUCUAUCUCAUGAGAACCAUCCACACUGGUUUUUUAGACAGGGGUCUCUCAUUGAGACCCAAGGCUCAUUUAAGCUAGGCUGGAUGACUGAUGAGCUGUAAGGAUCCUCCUGUCUCUGCCUCCCUUGUGCUGGCAUUAGAAGUAUGCACCACCACACCCAUUUUUUAAAAUGGAUGCUAGCCAGACGAU
Peromyscus maniculatus bairdii (prairie deer mouse) is the source of this 1629-nucleotide non-coding RNA. Lineage: Eukaryota; Metazoa; Chordata; Mammalia; Rodentia; Cricetidae. The record is from RefSeq and is a predicted model, not a curated record.